This is a long non-coding RNA of Daktulosphaira vitifoliae (grape phylloxera), 473 nucleotides long. RefSeq lists it as uncharacterized. The transcript is spliced from 3 exons. Lineage: Eukaryota; Metazoa; Arthropoda; Insecta; Hemiptera; Phylloxeridae. The record is from RefSeq and is a predicted model, not a curated record.
UUUUUAUUGAAAAAGUAUAAAUACCACUAUUUACAUUAAUUUCAGCUAUCAGUGAUCCGAAGUCAUCACAACGCCUUACAAGUACUUAUUCUCUCAGUUCAAACGAACGAUUCCAAAAUCAAUUACAUCAUGUACAAGUUAAUGUUGUUGGUUGUUGCCGCCUUGGCUCUUAUCGCCGUCGUUUCUUCUCAAAUCAUCUACACUUAUCCAACCGCUCCAGUCGUCUAUCCAUCUAUCUACUCUUAUCCUUCAUACUCGUGGGGAGUCUACACUCCAUACACUCUUCUCCGCAGAUAAUCUCACUAAAUUUUCUACACUUCUCUGGUUUAAUUGUUUUCACGGAAAAGAAGAAUCAUGAUUGUAAGCUUCAAACUUCACUUUAUUAUAUUUUUAAAUAUUUCUGUUAUAUUAACUUAAACUAUCUUGAAGAAUUUAAAUUAAAUAAAAACCUUCAUAUUUUUUCAUAAAAACAA